This 158-nucleotide ribosomal RNA is filed under the name Oocystella oogama. RNAcentral describes it as "5.8S ribosomal RNA". It matches the Rfam family "5.8S ribosomal RNA". From Rfam's summary of the family: 5.8S ribosomal RNA (5.8S rRNA) is a component of the large subunit of the eukaryotic ribosome. It is transcribed by RNA polymerase I as part of the 45S precursor that also contains 18S and 28S rRNA. Functionally, it is thought that 5.8S rRNA may be involved in ribosome translocation. Lineage: Eukaryota; Viridiplantae; Chlorophyta; Trebouxiophyceae; Chlorellales; Oocystaceae. The record is from RNAcentral.
AAGACAACUCUCAACAACGGAUAUCUUGGCUCCCGAAUCGAUGAAGAACGCAGCGAACUGCGAUAAGUAGUGUGAAUUGCAGAAUUCCGUGAAUCAUCGAAUCUUUGAACGCAGAUUGCGCCCAAGGCCUCGGCCGAGGGCAUGUCUGGCUCAGAGUC